UAUUCAGAGAAGUGCUUUCGGCUUGUGUGUCAUCGUCGGCUCUUACAGUUGAUUCUGGUGCUCUUUUUUGGAACCGAGAAGGGUGGGUUCAGUAGAUUAAUGCAACAUUCUAUUAUUCUAAGAAUACAAAGUUCAAAAACAGAUAAAUACUUAAAAUAUGUGUAAAUGUGAUAUAAACGAAUAAAUGUGAUUGAAUAAAUGCGAAUAUUGGUAAAAAUAAAUUAGGCUAAUAGAAAAAACAGAAAAUAACUAUACAGACACAAAAAAUGGAAAUAUAAGGUCUUUCUGCUCUCUUUUUUGCAGUCUUGUAAUUUAAGGUCAUUUACACAUCACUAAAUAUGCCUGGGUUCUCGGAAUAUUAUGUGCCUCUACCUCAGCAGAUACCUCCAUGGCUUUUGUAUGCUGUCCACUUGUCUAUCAUUAAUAAUUGUUGCAUCAUGCUUACCUUUGUAUAUUUGGAUGCUCUCUGCUAUGAGUUCAUUGACGUUGGUUAUUUGUUUGGUCACUUUACUUUCCUCCCAUCUUAUACUUGCAUUACUCUCAUAAGCUGUCUUGGCUAAGGCUCUCAUCAAAUUUGCAUUUGUAAUGUCCCUCUUGUGGUCUGCUAAUCUAUUCUUCAGAUUCCUGCAAGUUGCCCCUAUGUAUAAUUCUUUUUUCUGUCGUCCAAGUUCUGCAGUGGGAUGCUGUAUACUCCCGUUCUUUCUUCUUGGCUGUGAGCAUCUUUGACAUUUCUUAGUAAGUUGAUUGUGGGGGAGUCUCUUAUAGGUGGGCUUUCUUUCAUUUUUCUUUAUCACCUUUUUAAUGUUCAAAAGUCUCUUAAUGUCUUAUGAGACACAUUGAGUUGAGUAGUGAUGUCUUUUGUAGUGUUAUGUAUGUGUUGGGGUGUAGAUCUAGUAUUUUGAGGCUUUUGUGAGA
This 915-nucleotide long non-coding RNA is filed under the name Androctonus crassicauda. Lineage: Eukaryota; Metazoa; Arthropoda; Arachnida; Scorpiones; Buthidae. The record is from RNAcentral.